Molecule: RNA transcript, 4549 nt
Organism: Cebus imitator (Panamanian white-faced capuchin)
Lineage: Eukaryota; Metazoa; Chordata; Mammalia; Primates; Cebidae
Gene name: condensin complex subunit 1-like
Exons: 2
Source: RefSeq, a predicted model, not a curated record
GUAUAGAGCAAACUGGUCAGCAAAAUGCUGAGUAUCUCAUGGCUCAAGAGCUGUACUUCGAUUUCAGCCCGACUGCCGGAGUCAGAGGAUUCGCGGGUGAGAUCCCCAGCCCUGUGAGUCUGUAGGAGAAGAUGGCCCCCCAGAUGUAUGAGUUCCAUUUGCCAUUAUCCCCAGAGGAGUUGUUGAGAAGUGGAGGGGUGAAUCAGUAUGUUGUGCAAGAGGUACUGUCCAUCAAACAUCUUCCACCACAGCUUAGAGCAUUUCAGGCUGCCUUCCGAGCUCAGGGGCCCCUGGCUAUGCUGGAGCACUUUGAUACUAUCUACAGCAUUUUACAUCACUUUCGAAGUAUAGAUCCUGGCCUCAAAGAAGAUACUCUGGAAUUCCUGAUAAAAGUGGUAUCCCGCCACUCCCAGGAGCUUCCAGCUAUCCUGGAUGAUACAACCUUGAGUGUAUCAGAUCAAAAUGCUCAUCUAAAUGCCCUCAAAAUGAACUGUUAUGCUCUGAUAUGACUCUUGGAAUCCUUUGAGACCAUGACCAGCAGACAAACCUCAUGGACCUGGACCUUGGUGGGAAGGGUAAGAAAGCUCGGACCAAGGCAGCCCAUGGCUUUGACUGGGAAGAAGAGAGGCAACCACUUCUUCAGCUUUUAACACAGCUACUUCAGUUGGAAAUCCGUUACCUGUGGAACCACUCAAUAAUUGAAGAAGAAUUUGUCAGUUUGGUUACUGGCUGUUGCUACUGCCUUCUGGAGGAUCCCACUAUUAGUCACCAGAAGAACCGCCCCACUCGGGAAGCCAUAACACACCUGCUUGGUGUAGCCUUGACCCGUUACAACCAUAUGCUCAGUGCCACGGUGAAGAAUCAUCCAGAUGCUGCAGCACUUUGAACACCUGGCACCUGUACUACUUGCAGCUGUGAGUCUAUGGGCAACUGACUAUGGAAUGAAGAGCACAGUGGGAGAGACUGUAAGAGAGAUUGGACAAAAGUGUCCCCAAGAGUUGAGUCAAUAUCCUUCAGGGACAAAGGGCUUUGCAGCAUUCCUGACAGAAUUAGCAGAACGUGUCCCAGCUAUCCUGAUGUCUAGCAUGUGCAUUUUGCUAGAUCACCUGGAUGGAGAGAAUUACAUGAUGUGUAAUGCUGUGCUAGCAGCCAUGGCAGAGAUGGUACUGCAGGUUCUGAAUGGCUGCUUCCACAGCCCGAGACACCAGCGACCAGUUCUUGGAUACUUUACAAACCCAUGGCCGUGAUGUCAACUCCUUUGUGUGGAGCCGUGUUUUGCAGCUCUUCACCCGAAUUGGCCAGCAGAAGGCUCUCCCCCCGACACGUUUCCAGGCAGUGGUGGCUUUAGCUGUGGGACGUCUGGCAGACAAGUCAGUGCUGGUAAUGUAAAAAUGCCAUCCAGCUGCUGGCCAGUUUUCUAGCCAAUAAUCCUUUUUCCUGCAAGCUUAGUGAUACUGACCUUGCUGGACCACUGCAGAGGGAGACCCAGAAAUUACAGGAGAUGAGGGCCCAGAGGCGAACUGCAGCUGCUUUUGCAGUGCUGGACCCAGAGGAGGAGUGGGAAGCCAUGCUGCCAGAGUUGAAGUCUACCCUGCAGCAGCUUCUCAAGCUUCCCUAGGGAGAGGAGGAGAUUCCUGAGCAAAUUGCCAAUACAGAGACCACUGAAGAGGUGAAAGGACACAUCUAUCAACUGCUUGCCAAAGCUAGUUACAAACAGGCCAUCAUUCUCACUCGAGAAGCCACAGGACACUUACAGGAGUCCGAACCCUUCAGUCAUAUAGACUCAGAGGAGUCAGAGGAGACCGGGCUCUUGAAUAUCUUAGGAAUUACCUUCAAAGGCCCAGCAGUUUCCACACAAGAAAAGAAUCCCCAGGAGUCUACAGGAAACAUGGUCACAGGACAGACUGUCUGUAAAAACAAACCCAGUGUGUCAGAGCCUGAGGAAUUGAGGAGAAAUGACAAACUGGUGAAGCAGGAGAUGCUGCUGCAGUAUCUGCAGGAUGCCUGUAGCUUCUCCCGGAAGAUUACGGAGGCCACUGGCAUCAUCAGCAAGAUGAUGUAUGAAAACACAACUACAGCGGUGCAGGAGGUGAUUGAAUUCUUCGUGAUGGUCUUCGAAUUUGGGGUACCCCGGGCCCUGUUUGGGGUGCGCCACAUGCUGCCUCUCAUCUGGUCUAAGGACCCUGGUGUCCAGGAAGCUGUGCUUAAUGCCUAUCGCCAACUCUACCCCAACCCCAAAGGGGACUCUGCCAGAGUCAAAGCCCAGGCUUUGAUUCAGAAUCUCUCUCUGCUGCUAGUGGAUGCCUCGGUUGGGACCAUUCAGUGUCUUUUUGAGGAAAUUCUCUGUGAGUUUGUGCAGAAGGAUGAGGUGAAACCAGCAGUGACCCGGCUGCUGUAGAAACAGGCCACCGAGAAGGUCACCUGCUCUCCUCUAGAACGCUGUUCCUCUGUCAUGCUUCUUGGCAUGAUGGCACGAGGAAAGCCAGAAAUUGGGGGAAGCAAUUUAGACACACUGGUGGGCAUAGGGCUGGAUGAAAAGUUUCCACAGGACUACAGGCUGGCCCAGCAGGCAUGCCAUGCCAUUGCCAACAUCUCUGACAGGAGAAAGCCUUCUCUGGGCAAACGUCACCCCCUCUUCCGGCUGCCUCAGGAACACAGGUUGUUUGAGCGACUGCAGGAGACGGUCACAAAAGGCUUUGUCAACCCAGACCCACUCUGGAUCUCAUUCAAAGAGGUGGCAGUGACCCUCAUUUACCAACUGGCAGAGGGCUCCGAAGUGAUCUGUGCCCAGAUGUUGCAGAGCUAUGCAAAAUAGGCCCUGGAGAAGCUAGAAGAGAAAAGAACCAGUCAGGAGGACCCAAAGGAGUCCCCCCGCAAUGUUCCCCACUUUCACGUUGAUGAACCUGUUGUCCCUGGCUGGGAAGGUGGCUCUGAAGCAGCUGGUCCACUUGGGGCAGGCAGUGAGUGGAGAGCUUUGUUGGUGCCGAGUUCUCCGGGAAGGACAGGAGCACAAGACCAAAGAUCCCAAGGAGAAGAAUACAAGCCCUGAGACUGCCACGGAGGAGGAGCUGGGGCUGGUUGGGGCAACAGCAGAUGACACGGAGGCAGAACUGAUCCGCGGCAUCUGUGAGAUGGAACUGUUGGAUGGCAAACAGACCCUGGCUGCCUUUGUUCCACUCUUGCUUAAAGUCCGCAACAAUCCAGGCCUCUACAGCAACCCCAACCUCUCUGAAGCUGCUUCACUUGCCCUUGGCAAGUUCUGCAUGAUCAGUGCCACUUUCUGCGAAUCCCAACUUUGUCUUCUGUUCACCAUGCUAGAAAAGUCUCCACUUCGCAUUGUCCGGUCUAACCUCAUGGUUGCCACUGGGGAUCUGGCCAUCCGCUUUCCCAAUCUGGCGGACCUCUGGACUCCUCAUCUAUAUGCUCGCCUCCGGGACCCUGCUCAGCAAGUGCGGAAAACAGUGGGGCUGCUGAUGACCCACCUGAUCCUCAAGGACAUGGUGAAGGUGAAGGGGCAGGUGAGCGAGAUGGCGGUGCUGCUCAUCAACCCCGGGCCUCAGAUUGCUGCCCUGGCCAAGAACUUCUUCAACGAGCUCUCCCACAAGGGCAACGCAAUAUAUAAUCUCCUUCCAGAUAUCAUCAGCCGCCUGUCAGACCCUGAGCUGGAGGUGGAGGAAGAGCCUUUCCACACCAUCAUGAAGCAGCUCCUCUCCUACAUCACCAAGGACAAGGAGAAAGAGAGCCUGGUGGAAAAGCUGUGUCAGCGAUUCUGCACAGCCCGAACUGAGUGGCAGCAGCGGGACCUGGCCUACUGUGUGUCACAGCUGUCCCUCACAGAGCGAGGCCUCCGCAAGAUGCUUGACAAUUUUGACUGCUUUGGAGACAAACUGUCAGCUGAGUUCAUCUUCAGUGCUUUUUUUUGUCAGUUGUGGGCAAGCUGCGACGUGGGGCCAAGCCUGACGGCAAGGCUAUAAUAGACGAAUUUGAGCAGAAGCUUCGGGCCUGUCAUACCAGAGGUUUGGAUGGAAUUGAGGAGCUUGAGAUUAGCUAAGCAGGUAGCCAGAGAGCCCCGUCAGCCAAGAAAUCAUCCACUGUUUGUAGGCACCAGCCUCUGCCUUCUGCAGCCUCAGACAGUGACUUUGUCACACCAGAGCUCCGCCGUACUACCCGUCGCCAUCCAAACACCCAGCAGCAAGCUUCCAAAAAGAAACCCAAAAUUGUCUUCUCAAGUGAUGAGUCCAGUGAGGAGGAUCUUUCAGCAGAGAUGACAGAAGAGGAGACACCCAAGAAAACAACCUCCAUUCUCAGAGCAUCGGCUCGCAGGCUCAGAUCCUAGGAGUGGCCUUGCCCAUUCCUGACCUCCCUGUGCAGGGUAUCUUGUACCGUGGGCCUGGAAUUCCAAUUCUGUGCCCCUUGUAAAAUACUUAUCUGUCUCCUUUUUUAAAAAAAAUACGCAGUCUUUAAAAUGAAAGUCCUUUCUCUUAAAUUAGCCUAACUGAACUGUGUUGAGCUGCUUUCACUUUGGAAUAUAUGUUUGCCAAUCUCCUUG